Molecule: ribosomal RNA, 415 nt
Filed under: uncultured Actinomycetes bacterium
Lineage: Bacteria; Bacillati; Actinomycetota; Actinomycetes
Description: bacterial SSU rRNA
Rfam family: Bacterial small subunit ribosomal RNA
Source: RNAcentral
GAGUUUGAUCUUGGCUCAGGACGAACGCUGGCGGCGUGCUUAACACAUGCAAGUCGAGCGGUAAGGCCCCUUCGGGGGUACACGAGCGGCGAACGGGUGAGUAACACGUGAGCAACCUACCCUCAACUUUGGGAUAAGCCUCGGAAACGGGUCUAAUACCGGAUAAUACUGACCGUCUCAUGGUGGUUGGUUGAAAGUUCUGGCGGUUGGGGAUGGGCUCGCGGCCUAUCAGCUUGUUGGUGGGGUAAUGGCCUACCAAGGCGUCGACGGGUAGCCGGCCUGAGAGGGCGACCGGCCACACUGGGACUGAGACACGGCCCAGACUCCUACGGGAGGCAGCAGUGGGGAAUAUUGCGCAAUGGACGAAAGUCUGACGCAGCAACGCCGCGUGAGGGAUGACGGCCUUCGGUUGUAA